AUAUUGCACAAUGGGCGAAAGCCUGAUGCAGCGACGCCGCGUGAGGGACGAAGGUCUUCGGAUUGUAAACCUCUUUCAGCAGGGACGAAGCGAAAGUGACUGUGCCUGCAGAAGAAGCACCGGCUAACUACGUGCCAGCAGCCGCGGUAAUACGUAGGGUGCAAGCGUUGUCCGGAUUUAUUGGGCGUAAAGAGCUCGUAGGCGGUUCGUCACGUCGGAUGUGAAAACCUGGGGCUUAACCCCGGGCCUGCAUACGAUACGGGCGAACUAGAGUUCGGUAGGGGAGACUGGAAUUCCUGGUGUAGCGGUGAAAUGCGCAGAUAUCAGGAGGAACACCGGUGGCGAAGGCGGGUCUCUGGGCCGAUACUGACGCUGAGGAGCGAAAGCGUGGGGAGCAAACA
Molecule: ribosomal RNA, 401 nt
Filed under: uncultured bacterium
Lineage: Bacteria
Description: bacterial SSU rRNA
Rfam family: Bacterial small subunit ribosomal RNA
Source: RNAcentral